UAUGGCUGUCGUCAGCUCGUGUCGUGAGAUGUUGGGUUAAGUCCCGCAACGAGCGCAACCCUUGCCAUUAGUUGCUACAUUUAGUUGAGCACUCUAAUGGGACUGCCGGUGACAAACCGGAGGAAGGUGGGGAUGACGUCAAGUCCUCAUGGCCCUUAUGGGUAGGGCUUCACACGUAAUACAAUGGUCGGUACAGAGGGUUGCCAACCCGCGAGGGGGAGCCAAUCCCAGAAAGCCGAUCGUAGUCCGGAUCGGAGUCUGCAACUCGACUCCGUGAAGUCGGAAUCGCUAGUAAUCGCGGAUCAGCAUGUCGCGGUGAAUACGUUCCCGGGCCUUGUACACACCGCCCGUA
This 352-nucleotide ribosomal RNA is filed under the name uncultured soil bacterium. RNAcentral describes it as "bacterial SSU rRNA". It matches the Rfam family "Bacterial small subunit ribosomal RNA", at positions 1044 to 1398 of the family's 1533-position model. The record is from RNAcentral.